RNAcentral lists this long non-coding RNA (1061 nucleotides) under Taeniopygia guttata (zebra finch). Its description in RNAcentral is "lncRNA (ENSTGUG00000029410.1)". The record is from RNAcentral. Lineage: Eukaryota; Metazoa; Chordata; Aves; Passeriformes; Estrildidae.
GGUGGGAGCUGCACCGGCCCCUGGCUGCAUCCUGAUCCUGAUUCUCUCCUGCAGAAACUGCAAGGGAGCAUCCCCAGCAUUGCCAGGCCACUCGAAGUCACUGUGAUGUUGAAGGCAGCCCCACAGUGACCUGCUGGCACACUGGAAAUUAUUUUCCCAGGUGGAUAACCCCCCCCCCCCCAGACUCUUUGUACCCCUCACCUUCCCCACUCGGCAGUGCCUCACCAGACUGGAAGUGCCCACUCAACUCUUGCUGGGAUCCCACUGAGCUCCCUGGGGUUCUCCUUCACUGCGGCUCCUGCCUGGAAAGCCGCAGCUCUAACUCUGCCUCAGCUGACCUCGCUCAAGUGCCGCUUUAAUUGCCGGCAGUGAUUUGGAAGUCCCGUCGCUGGUUAUUUCCAGGUCUUUGCUCCCGGAUAUCGCCCCCUGCUCCGGCCGCACAAGAGGAACUGAGGACAUUCCCAUGAGCAGUGUAAGAACUCUCCCAAACCAGCCUCAUCACCAUGGACAGCAGCUUCCAGGUGGGAAGAGCUCCCAGCCCAUCCCGUGUGUCCUUCCCUAGGAGCAGUUCAGCUGAGGGAGCUCCUGGGUGGCACCUGCCAGGUCCCUGCAGCUGCACGGGACACAGACAGCGCUCCGUGUCCUCCUCCUGGCAACAGGCAGCUCCCAGCCUGCGCUCUGCCUGCCUGCCAGCAGCGUUCCCAUCACUUUGGCUUUGCCUCUUCCUCAUAAGCCUUCUCCAACAGCAAGCAGUUUGGGAAGAGGCAUUGGAAUUACUCUGUGCUGGAGUUCCCUCCAGGAAAAAGCCUUUUCACUCAUCUUCUCCAUUGCUGGGAACUCUGGGUUUGUUCUGGUUUGGAUGGAGCAAACUAGGUUCAUCCUCAGCUGUAGGUGCCAUCUCCAGGGAAGCUUUCAAACCUCCAGGAGCUCUUUAUACCAAAAUAUGUUGCUACUUUUAUCUGAUGUUUUUCUGAUCUGGUGGUAGCAAGGAAUCCUACACGUAUCAUUUCCUAGCUCUGGUUGCUCUAAUAUGCUCAAAAAAGAAAGCAGAAGGCAUUAAA